UGUAUUAAUAUCUUUCCAAGCAUAAGUCUGCGCACUGAGACUUUUUUUCAUUCAAGGCAUUUUCCCCCAGUCUGCUGUGUCCUUGAGGAAAUUCUGGAGGGAUGCUGGAGAGCUGUUGUCAUGCUGGAACUUGAAUAGGACAUUACAGAGUGCAAGAUCAGAAACCACCCUUCACACAAUAGCUGUGCCAGAAAUGGCUCACCAGGAAGGCAGAUUGCCGAGGGAAAUCCAAUUCUCCCCAAAGCAGACUAUGUAUUUAUCAGACUGCACUCCUCUUGGAAACAUCUGCUUACCUUUGUGCUUACAUUCCCCUACUUUUGCAUUUGAGCUGAGCCCCUGA
RNAcentral lists this long non-coding RNA (340 nucleotides) under Junco hyemalis (dark-eyed junco). RNAcentral describes it as "lncRNA (ENSJHYG00000017567.1)". The record is from RNAcentral. Lineage: Eukaryota; Metazoa; Chordata; Aves; Passeriformes; Passerellidae.